RNAcentral lists this ribosomal RNA (482 nucleotides) under uncultured bacterium. RNAcentral's name for it is "partial 16S ribosomal RNA". It matches the Rfam family "Bacterial small subunit ribosomal RNA", at positions 30 to 507 of the family's 1533-position model. The record is from RNAcentral.
AUUGAACGCUGGCGGCAUGCCUUACACAUGCAAGUCGAACGGUAACAGGUCUUCGGUUGCUGACGAGUGGCGAACGGGUGAGUAAUACAUCGGAACGUGCCCAGACGUGGGGGAUAACGAGGCGAAAGCUUUGCUAAUACCGCAUACGAUCUAAGGAUGAAAGCAGGGGACCGCAAGGCCUUGCGCGUUUGGAGCGGCCGAUGGCAGAUUAGGUAGUUGGUGGGAUAAAAGCUUACCAAGCCGACGAUCUGUAGCUGGUCUGAGAGGACGACCAGCCACACUGGGACUGAGACACGGCCCAGACUCCUACGGGAGGCAGCAGUGGGGAAUUUUGGACAAUGGGCGAAAGCCUGAUCCAGCAAUGCCGCGUGCAGGAUGAAGGCCUUCGGGUUGUAAACUGCUUUUGUACGGAACGAAAAGGCUCUGGCUAAUACCUGGGGCACAUGACGGUACCGUAAGAAUAAGCACCGGCUAACUACGUG